CUGUAAGAAGGACCCAUUGGGUGCUCUGAUCCUCAUCUUAUUUUUGUCAGCGUCAUUGCGCACCAGCUGGAACGUCUCGGACUGCCCCGGCAUGGAGGCUGUGGCCACCACAUUAACGCCGGCCACGGUCACGAAUUGGUUCUUGAACACCUUAAAGUUGAAGGUGUUCUCGUCGAUACGCCAGAGCUUGAAGGUCUCCCAGUGGGAGGCCGAGAGCCGGUUGGCGACAAGUGCCCCGCCGCCCCCAUUCUCGGCAGCCACAAACCCCUUAUGUGCCAUGGACUGGAACUGCACACUCGUGCCAUCCUGAUUCAUCGAUCCAAACCGGAAGAAAUUAAGCAAGAUGGGAUAAACAUGACAUUACAACUAGACGAAGGAAACAAGUAGGUGAAUUACUUACGAGGAGGUCUUUGUUGGGGAUGCCAUCGAAGAGGGAGGGCAGCCCCUUGACGAUGGUCACUGCAAACACGGAGGGGUCAUCGUCGCCCCAUGUCGUGCUCUCGCCGAAGUUGGCCGUCAAUGAACCAUCCUUGUUUGCCUGUGCUGCCAGCAAUGGAACAGAUUGAUGACUCAUACUAGUUUGGUUAUGUCUAGCCGAUCUCUCAAAAUUUAGCCACCUUAUAUGCGUCCUUAUACUUUAGAGGAGUAUAUUUGCUCCUCUAAAAAAAUGUGGUUUUCAACCGGUCCCGUAUAUUUUGCGGAUCAAACAAUUUAUUCGACUUACGCAUUUCAACAAGCACUUCUAUGACAUGUGAGUGGCAAUUUAAUUGCAUCUGCACAAUGUUCUGAGACAAGACGAGGCCUAAUUGAAAUAGGGAUCUCGUCAAUCUUUUAAAUAGUGGAUUCCUUUAGCCACAACACGUUCAAAAUGGGGCUAAAUCGGAGCUAAAUGAGGCUAUAGCGAAAAAUUGUACAUACAUGAAUUCCUUUAGCGACAACACAUUCAAAAAGUUAUAGCGGGCUAUUUAAAACUAUGAAUCUAGUGCGCUAUGUGCGGCCGGGGGAGGGGGGCCAGGAGAUCCUGCCGAGCUCGGCGACUGCAUGCUGCCGGAGUUGCCUCCGGGAGCAUCCUGAGGUAAGGUCGAUCGUUGUGCUGCUCGACCUCAUAGUACGCGGUGGAAGCCGGCGUUCAUGGUUGUGCACAAGCCUGACCGCCCGAUCGAGGACCUCCUCCUCCACUACUAUAGCAGUACACCAUGAACCCAGAUAUCGUGGUGCUCCUACAAGAAUCCUGUUGCUGCUCAUGGCGCCCUUACUAUGGACGGGACGCCAUCGGCUAACGAGGCCCUACAUAGCGGGCGAAGCACCAAGAAGGGGUAGUAGCGAGAGUAGUAGUCGAGCAGGGCACCAACAAGGUCGCCGACUUGCCAGGUCGACAUGACGGGAGUGGCUGAGUAUAUUUAUUAACAAACCUAAACGUUUUGAGGAAUCGGCUAGGUGGAGUUUAAAUUAGUAAAACGAAAUUUUUACUCCACUAAACGAUCGAUUAUAAGUGAUCAUCUAGAGAUGGCCUUACAUCGUGAAAAGAUAAGUAACUUUGUACUAUGCAACUUGUGGUUGGAAUAGUCUUUCAUAGCCAAUGAAUAAAAGAUAGGUACUCACUUAGCUUGCUAGCUACUGCAUGCAUGGCCCAUGGAUCCCUCGUGCCAUUAUUAGUACGUCCUCAGAAUGAGGACAACUACUACUACUGAGUGGAGAAUAAAGUUAAGUUACCUGCACGAAGGACCCAUUAGGUGCUUUGAUCCUCAUCAUAUUCUUGUUUGGCACCAGCUUAAACGUCUCCGAUGGACCCGGCGUGGAGGCCGUGGCCACCACAUUAACGCCGACGACGGUCACAGACUGGUUGUUGAACACUUUGAGGUUGAAGGUGUUCUGGUCGAUCCGCCACAGCUUGAAGGUCUCCCAACCGGAGGCUGAGGCCCGGUUGGCGACCAGUGCCGCCCCGCCACCGUUCUCGGCAGCCACGAACGCGUUCUGUGUCGCGGACCUGAGUUGUAGCUGCGUGCCAUCCUGCCUCAUCGAUCCAGACCGACAUAAAUCAAGCAAGAGUUGAUGAUCCUAACAUGACAACCAGACGAAGGAAACAUCUUUGUGAAUUCUUUUCUUACCAGGAGGUCUUUGUUGGGGAUGUCGUCAAAGGGGGAGGGUAGAUCCUUGACGAUGGUCAUCACGAACACGGAGGGGUCGUCGUCACCCCAGGUCGUCGUCCUCUCGCGAAAGUCGGCCGUCAUCGAACCAUCUUUGUUUGCCUGUCGUGCCAGCAAUGAAGAUGUGUAACAUUGAUGACUCUUAGUUACUAGGUUUUUCUCAUGGAAGAUAACCUUCAAUGCAACUUGCGGUUGUAAUAGUCAUAGUCAUUGAAAGAGUAGGAAACUUUGCCACAGUUCCGUCGUGCAAUGAAUGAAGAGGUCAACUAGUACUACUGAGUGUGGAGUAUUAAGUAUCCUCAAAAAAAGAGUGUGGAGUAUCAAGUUAAAUUACCUGCAAGAGGGACCCAUUGGGUGCUCUGAUCCUUAUCCUAUUCUUGUCAAAGUUGUGGCGCACCAGCUGGAACGUUUCCGACUGACCGGGCGUGGAGGCCGUGGCCACGACAUUAACGCCAAUGACGGUCACGAACUGGUUGUUAAACACCUUGAGGUUGAAGUUGUUCUCGUUGAUCGGAUGGAGCUUAAAGGUCUCCCAGCCUGAGGCCGAGGGGCGGUUGGCAAACAGCGCCGCCCCGCCGCCAUCCUCGGCGGCUACAAAACCGUUUUGCGUCACGGACUUCAAUUGCAGCUGCAUGUCAUCCUGCUCCAUCGAUCGACCCACAGAAAUUAGGCAAGAGGAAAUUUUGGCAUUGCACGCAAGACGCAACAGACAAGGAAAACAAGUAGGGUAAAUCGUUACCACGAGGUCGUUGUUUGGGAUGCCGCCGAAGAGGGACCGCAGAAUCCAGCCAUCGGUGAUGAUGGACACCACAAACACGGAGGAGUCGUCAUCGCCCCAUGUAGUGCUCUCGCCGAAGUCCGCCGUCACCGUACCAUCUUUGUUUGCCUGCCGUGUCAGCAAUGGAAGAUAUGUAAUUUUGAUGAAUCUUAGUAGGGUGUUUCUUUCAUGAAAGAUAACCUUCUAUGCAACUUGUGGUUGUAAUUGUCAUUGUUAAUGAGGGAGUAGGUAACUUUGCCAUUGAUACCUCGUGCCAUCAAUGAAGAGGUCAACUACUAGUAUUAAGUGGAGUAUUAAGUUAAGUUACCUGCAAGAACGACCCAUUGGGUGCUCUAAUCCUCAUUCUAUCCUUGUCAGCGUCGUUGCGCACCAGCUCGAAUGUCUCCGACUGCCCCGGUGUGGAGGCUGUGGCCCCCACAUUAACGCCGGCAACGGUCACGAACUGGUUGCUGAACACCUUGAAGUUGAACGUGUUCUUGUCGAUCCUCCAGAGUUUGAAGGUCUCCCAGCUGGAGGCCGACGCCCGGUUGGCGACAAGUGUCGCCCCACCGCCAUUCUCGGCGGCCACGAACGCGUUCUGUGUCACGGACCUGAACUGCAGUUGUGUGCCAUCCUGCUCCAUUGAUCGAGACCAACAUAAAUUAAGCAAGAGUUGAUGAACAUGACAUGACAACCAGAUGAAGGAAACAUCUUGGUGAAUUAUUUUCUUACCAGGAGGUCUUUGUUGGGGAUGUUGUCGAAGCGGGAGGGCAGGUCCUUGACGAUGGUCACCACAAACACAGUGGGGUCGUCGUCGCCCCAUGUCGUCGCCUUCUCGCGGAAGUCGGCCGUCACCGAACCAUCUUUGUUUGCCUGUCGUGCCAGCAAUUAAUGAAGAUGUGUAACAUUGAUGACUCUUGGAAGGUUUUUUUUCAUGAAAGAUAACCUUCAAUGCAACUCAUGGUUGUAACAGUCAUUGUCAAUGAAAGAGUAGGCAACUUUGCCACUUAUCCAUGGUGCAAUUAAUGAAUGGAGAGGUCAACUACUCCCUUCGUCAUGGUUUAGAAGGCAUACACGUGUACACGUGUAUUUAGGUCAUCAGUUUGACUUAUAUAAAUUAUAUUAUUUAACGUAAAAAUUAUAUUAUUAUAAAUCUAAUGAUAUAAUUUUUACGUUAAUUAAUAUAUUUUAUAUAAAUGAAAUUAACGACUUAGAUACACGUGCAUUCCUUCUAAACUGUGACAGAGGGAGUAGUACUACUGGGUGGAGUAUUAAGUUAAUUUACCUGUAAGAGGGACCCAUUGGGUGCUCUGAUCCUCAUUCUAUUCGGGUCAGCAUCGUUGCGCACCAGCUGGAACGACUGAACUGGUGUGGUGGCGGUGGCCACGACAUUAACGCCGGCGACGGUGACGAACUGGUUGCUAAACACCUUGAAGUUGAAGGUGUUCUGGUUGAUCCGAUAGAGCUUGAAGGUCUCCCAUCCUGAGGCCAAGGGACGGUUGGCGAUCAGCGCCGCCCCGCCGCCAUUCUCGGCAGCCAGGAACGCGUUCUGCGUCACGGACUUGAACUGCAGCUGUGUGCCAUCC
This 4490-nucleotide long non-coding RNA is filed under the name Hordeum vulgare. Its description in RNAcentral is "long non-coding RNA (HVUL_LNC000022)". Lineage: Eukaryota; Viridiplantae; Streptophyta; Magnoliopsida; Poales; Poaceae. The record is from RNAcentral.